UGCAGUCGAACGGCAGCACGGACUUCGGUCUGGUGGCGAGUGGCGAACGGGUGAGUAAUGUAUCGGAACGUGCCCAGUAGCGGGGGAUAACUACGCGAAAGCGUAGCUAAUACCGCAUACGCCCUACGGGGGAAAGCAGGGGAUCGCAAGACCUUGCACUAUUGGAGCGGCCGAUAUCGGAUUAGCUAGUUGGUGGGGUAACGGCUCACCAAGGCGACGAUCCGUAGCUGGUUUGAGAGGACGACCAGCCACACUGAGGACUGAGACACGGCCCAGACUCCUACGGGAGGCAGCAGUGGGGAAUUUUGGACAAUGGGGGAAACCCUGAUCCAGCCUUCCCGCGUGUGCCAUGACGGCCUUCAGGUGGGAAAUCUGUUUUGGCAGCAAUUAGACAUCGCAAACGUAAGAACCG
RNAcentral lists this ribosomal RNA (412 nucleotides) under Achromobacter sp. RNAcentral describes it as "bacterial SSU rRNA". It matches the Rfam family "Bacterial small subunit ribosomal RNA", at positions 56 to 466 of the family's 1533-position model. The record is from RNAcentral. Lineage: Bacteria; Pseudomonadati; Pseudomonadota; Betaproteobacteria; Burkholderiales; Alcaligenaceae.